Molecule: microRNA precursor, 94 nt
Filed under: Canis lupus familiaris (dog)
Lineage: Eukaryota; Metazoa; Chordata; Mammalia; Carnivora; Canidae
Also listed under: 1 other name
Description: mir-8799 microRNA precursor family
Rfam family: mir-8799 microRNA precursor family
Source: Rfam by way of RNAcentral
AGCGGGAGCGCAGGAUCCUGGGCUGUGUCCUCUGGUGUCCUGGGCUCUGGGGCCUGCACCACUGGGAUUGUGCUUCCGGGCCGCACAGCCCCCU